ACCUCUGCCACCCAGGACUCAGGGACCACUGUGGAAGAUGGGCCAGAAAGAUGUCCAGGAAUGGCUCCAGGAACUUGACUGUUCAGAAAUGGAUCUGUGUUCCAUAAGAAGAGGAAGAGAUCACAAGGACAUGAUGCUCUCAACCUGUCACAGAAUCUCAUGCUCCCAGCUUGCUUUCUGUUGAAGUUCUACUAUUUUUCAAAUUGCCAUUCAAUCCAUGCAAUGAUAUAAAUUGUAUCCUUACAAUGAAUCCACAGGACAAAGAAUCCAUGGUCACAGGAUUGGUUUGAGUGCACUGUCUUUCCUCAUCUCUGGGAAGCCCACCAGAGAUGCUCUCUUUUGUCUGCCUCUGCCCCUGCACCCAGCGACUAUAAAUCUUGAAAUUAUAAGAAUGAACUGUUGACUAGAGCUUAUGACUUCUAUGCUGGAGGUUGUUUAUUUUGGGACUUACAUGAUUCUGGAUGCCACAGCAUGGAUGGACAACAGAAUGCAUCUUUACAAGGAGAAAGAAUAUGUGAGAUGAAGAAUCAGCGGGGAAGUCUCUUUUGGAGAUUACACAGAUUGAGCUGUAGCUCUUCAAUAACAAUCCAGGUCGUUGGAGUCACAAGCCCUUAACACCUUGCCCUCUUGGAGUGAAAAAUAUAUUGGAAGUCUUCUUUGCCACAUCUCACAUUCCUCUGGAAUUUGUGUCCAGCAAGUUGCAGUCCUGAAGCAUGCUUGGCAUCUACAGACUCUUCCAUCUGUAAUGCUUGAUGCACUGCCACUGAGCAAGGAGCAUGGUCCCAAAUUACACCUGGCUUGAGCACCUGGCUGUCACUCGCUCCUUCCAAGCAAGGCCUCCUGUCUGGAAAGCAAGCUGUCCAACUGGCUUUUCAACUUACAUCAAACAGGGGAAUAAUUUUUCAAGGCAUCCUUGUACUUUUCUAACUGCUUUUAGGAUGCUGUUAUUGAAGUGGUGAUGAUAUAUGUCUUGAAAAGUAUUCUUUGAUUUAAACAUGUAGAGGUGAAAUUAAUGAAGCAAAUCAAUCUUUUAAAGUCAUUGAGUAAUGUAUUGCUGAAAUUAAGUACACGUUGUAAUUUGAAUUGUUGAAGAGUAAAUCAGUAUAGUGCUCAUGAGAGGGAAAUUGUUCUCAGAAAGUCCAUAAACAUAUGUAUAUAGUCGCUUCCAGCUUCUGGGUCUCAUUUUGAUAGAAAUCUAUCCAGUUUUACUUUUUUGUUUGAUUCUUUACAUGUAUAAAUCUUGCCUCUACAUCUAGAUUUUAAGGUGCUUAAGGACAUAUGCACAAUAUAUGUAAAGCCUAAAACUACCCUUGCUAAACUGAAUAAGAAUAUGCAGGUAGUAAAUUUUCAUUAGGUGCUAAAACUCAGAUCUUAAAUGCUGAAUAAAACAUCAGAUUCACUUUGUGGGGGGACAUCUAUUCUCCUUUACUCUC
Long non-coding RNA from Nannospalax galili (Upper Galilee mountains blind mole rat), 1433 nucleotides. RefSeq lists it as uncharacterized. The transcript is spliced from 4 exons. NCBI's taxonomy places the organism in Eukaryota, Metazoa, Chordata, Mammalia, Rodentia, Spalacidae. The record is from RefSeq and is a predicted model, not a curated record.